RNAcentral lists this long non-coding RNA (1078 nucleotides) under Homo sapiens (human). RNAcentral's name for it is "long intergenic non-protein coding RNA 1091". The record is from RNAcentral. Lineage: Eukaryota; Metazoa; Chordata; Mammalia; Primates; Hominidae.
AUAGAAAGAAAAAGAUUUUGAGACUCAGUCUCAUUUUUGGCAGUUAAGCCAGAUCUGCUGUUAGAGGAGAAUUCUUCUGUCCUAGCUGUGUCUCUGUGAUCUGUGGAUGAGGGUGGGAAAGCACCACUCAGUCAAUUGGGGUGUACAAAAUGGAGUUUGAGAAGGUCUCACAUCCAGGUUGUUUUGAAGCAAAGUCCAAGCAUUGUAUCACUUCAUCUGCAAAUAUUUCAAUAAGUACCCAAAAGUGGUUGGACUGAGUCCCAUGAAGCCAGAUCACUUCUGACUGCAAGGAGCUUGGAAAAGCAAGUAUCUGGAUCUUUUACCAGCUAAAUUUGGAGAAUUAUUGAUCAAAUUUGGAUCUCUGUGUGCUGUCCUCCAAUUUAAUACUUUCUGUGUUGCUGUUUUAUUUUCUUUCUUCUGGAACCUGGCAAAGUGCGUCAAGCGAUGAGGCUUCCUCUUUGAAGAUCACAGGUGAGAAGAUUAGGUGCUUUCUCAGAAGCCCAGCAACCUGAUGGGAGUGUGGAGUGAGCAAGACCCAAAUCGGAGCUUCAUCCCUGCAUGGUUCAUUUUGCUUAUUUGGCAAACUUGCCCUGCAGAAUCUACUCAAGCUUCCUCAGUUUCUCAAAUCAUUCUUGGGCAACAAAUGAACAAGAAAGAGGACGUCUUAUUAUCUGGUGUCUGGCUUGCUGAUUUAAUAACCUAGGAGACAGUGUUUGAAGAACACAAACUCUAAAGUCCUUCACUUAAAAAAAAAAAAAAACUUUCCCAAAUUGCUUACCAUUUGGAAAAAUUGCCUUACCUUCUUCAGUCAUCUCUGAUGUUGUCAUCCUCAGAGUAAGAAGUACGCAUUCAUAAGGAACCAUAACGUCCUUCAGGAAAUCCAGUACACCCUACAAUUUUACCUAAAACUUUGAUGUUGUUUUUUCUGAGCAUUUUACCUUCUAGGGAAAUGGAUCUCAUGCUGUUUAUCAGUUUCUGAAAGUUGUUAUUAAUCUCCCCUCAUCCCAAAAUUGAAGAACUUUGCUUAAAUCUUAGAAUCAGAACUUUGGCUCCAGUAAUAAAGACUUUUCAAUAUCUU